CCUACGGGUGACAGCAGUGGGGAAUAUUGCACAAUGGGGGAAACCCUGAUGCAGCGACGCCGCGUGAGUGAAGAAGGCAUUCGUUAUGUAAAGCUCUAUCAGCAGGGAAGAAACAGACGGUACCUGAGUAAGCAGCACCUGCUAACUACGUGCCAGCAGCCGCGGUAAUACGGAGGGGGCAAGCGUUAUCCGGAUUUACUGGUGGUAAAGUGAGCGUAGACGGCGAAGAAAGUCUGAAGUGAAAGCCCGCGGCUUAACCGGGGAACUGCUUUCGAAACUUGUUUGCUGGAGUACCGGAGAGGUAAGCAGAAUUCCAGGUGUAGCGGUGAAAUGCGUAGAGAUUAGGAGGAACACCAGUGGCGAAGGCGGCUUCCUGGACGGUAACUGACGUUGAGGUUCGAAAGCGUGGGGAGCAAACAGGAUUAGAUACCCCAGUAGUC
Molecule: ribosomal RNA, 440 nt
Filed under: uncultured bacterium
Lineage: Bacteria
Description: partial 16S ribosomal RNA
Rfam family: Bacterial small subunit ribosomal RNA
Source: RNAcentral